GAGAGGACAAACCAGAGUGUCCAGCGGGCUCUGAGACGAUAUGUCAACGAGUCACACGACGACUGGGACAUCCACCUUCCAGCAGUCGUGUAUGGCAUUAACACAACUUCACAGGCCUCCACGAAGUGCACUCCGUUUUUCCUCAUGUUUCACCGACAUCCUCGCUUUCCUGAAGUGAGAUGGAGAUUCAUGGGAGGUUGGAGGUCCAGAGGAAGACAUGGACACCACAGUUGAUAAGAUAAGACUCCUGAAUGAGAAGGUCCUUCAAAACAUUGAACUGGCUCAGGAAAGACAGAAGAAAAAGUCUGUUUGAGUCUGCACAGUCAAUGUUGGAGAUGAUGUCCUCGUCUCAGGAAGCCCCAAAGAUGGGCUUCGUUCAGCGGCCAUGUCCAGUCAGCAUGAGGGUCCCUUCACUGUUACCAGCAUCUCUUCAAAAGGCGUGGCAACAGUGAGAAAAAGUGAUGGGAAGCACCGGAUGCUCAACAUAAAGCGCCUCAGGCCAUAUAGGAGAUUGGAGACUCUUAGUCGUCUGAUAGCGUUUUGGCCUGACCACCCAUAUUGGACUGACAAGCAGGAUGAUCAUCUCUACGCUUCAUGUGGAGAGACAUGGGAGCAGAAGUUGGGUCCUCUUCAGGAUAAACUGGCAAGUGAUAUCUCCAUCUGUUUUCCAUGGCAAAAAGAUUUCAUCAGCUAAAUCCUAAUAUCUUCACUCGUGGCAUGGUGUGGUCUUGCAUUCUAGUUGUCCUAUGUACUGGACACCAGUCGUCCUGCAAAGGAACUUAUUGUCAAAGAUGGCAAUCUCUGUCUUGUUCGCCAGGAAUUCUGGACUUUGGGCCUUCCGCGAUGCAGGGAUUCAUCUGUGUGUUUAUUUAGAUCUUUGUAUUUAAGGAAACUUAAAAGAGUCAUAAUGUCUUAAACAUAGAAUGAUUUCUUUGUCUUGAUCCAUUCUCUUUUAGAAACGCCUGCCUGAGGCUC
Molecule: long non-coding RNA, 975 nt
Organism: Synchiropus splendidus (mandarinfish)
Lineage: Eukaryota; Metazoa; Chordata; Actinopteri; Syngnathiformes; Callionymidae
Exons: 4
Source: RefSeq, a predicted model, not a curated record